Non-coding RNA from Miniopterus natalensis, 909 nucleotides. NCBI's taxonomy places the organism in Eukaryota, Metazoa, Chordata, Mammalia, Chiroptera, Miniopteridae. The record is from RefSeq and is a predicted model, not a curated record.
CGGGACUAUUUGUCAACCCAUCACCUCACUUCAGCCAUGCCGUGACAGAGCCUCAGGACCCUUCUAGGCAACUACUUCUGUCCAGCGCCAUCUCUGAUAGAAAUCAUCUACUAUCCUACCUGCCUCUGCUUUCCCCCACAAGGGAAAAUUGUCAGCAAACACUCUCCAAGGCUUUUCCUGAAUAUUUGGUGAACUUGGAAUCUUAGAAUGGUAUACCAGACACAACACCUGACUUACCAGAAAAGUCCACCAGCCCCUGAAAUAGAGCCUAACAACAAUUCCAGUAACUGGCUGUUCUGCUCACGGAACAAUGGGACCGGAAGGAUGUAAUGCUUUUUUCCUGGCUUCGGUUUCUGACAGUGUGAGCUUUAAUACUUUGCUUUAGUGACAGAAGAGCCCCCCAGAGCUCUCGACGAUGAUGAAGAGGGAUGGUGUCUGGCAGACUUCAGAGCUUCUAAGCGCCUCUGAAACUUUGAUUCUCCAGAAAUUGCCACUCUCAGAAACAUUGUACGAUGACUUAAAAAUGUCUACCGUCCCCAAAGCCAAAUAAAACUUGACUUUAGUAGGGACAUCUAAGUAAAAAUAACGCUUUAAUACUUGCCUUGGUGUUGUUCUGGUGAGUCUUCCAUUGCAUUCAGCAUCUCAGUGAUUGCUGUGCUGACACUUUGAUAAAUGGAGAGACUGAAAUUACAAAACAGCUGGAAGAAGCUGGGAAUGUCCCAGUUCCGCACAAGAUCUGCCUCUUUUGUUGGCUCUUUGAAAAAAGAUGGAAAAAAGUAAGGCUCGAUUACAUCUGUAUCUGACAUGAAAUAUGACUGAAAAGCCCGGUCAAAUUCCUGCUGCAUCUGUCUGAAGACGUUAACACUCCUGUUAAAGAGAAAUCUCACGUCCACGGUCAGUUGGCUGAAC